This 253-nucleotide ribosomal RNA is filed under the name uncultured bacterium. RNAcentral's name for it is "partial 16S ribosomal RNA". It matches the Rfam family "Bacterial small subunit ribosomal RNA", at positions 524 to 776 of the family's 1533-position model. RNAcentral also lists the same sequence under 1 other name. The record is from RNAcentral.
UACGUAGGGUGCGAGCGUUAAUCGGAAUUACUGGGCGUAAAGCGUGCGCAGGCGGUUUUGUAAGCCAGAUGUGAAAGCCCCGGGCUUAACCUGGGAAUGGCAUUUGGGACUGCAAGGCUUGAGUGCGGCAGAGGAGACUGGAAUUCCUGGUGUAGCAGUGAAAUGCGUAGAUAUCAGGAGGAAUACCGAUGGCGAAGGCAGGUCUCUGGGCUGACACUGACGCUCAUGCACGAAAGCGUGGGGAGCAAACAGG